This 834-nucleotide ribosomal RNA is filed under the name uncultured bacterium. RNAcentral's name for it is "bacterial SSU rRNA". It matches the Rfam family "Bacterial small subunit ribosomal RNA", at positions 62 to 855 of the family's 1533-position model. The record is from RNAcentral.
UCGAGCGAGUCUGCCUUGAAGAUCGGAGUGCUUGCACUCUGUGAAACAAGAUACAGGCUAGCGGCGGACGGGUGAGUAACACGUGGGUAACCUGCCCAAGAGAUCGGGAUAACACCUGGAAACAGAUGCUAAUACCGGAUAACAACAGAUGAUGCCUAUCAACUGUUUAAAAGAUGGUUCUGCUAUCACUCUUGGAUGGACCUGCGGUGCAUUAGCUAGUUGGUAGGGUAACGGCCUACCAAGGCGAUGAUGCAUAGCCGAGUUGAGAGACUGAUCGGCCACAUUGGGACUGAGACACGGCCCAAACUCCUACGGGAGGCAGCAGUAGGGAAUCUUCCACAAUGGACGCAAGUCUGAUGGAGCAACGCCGCGUGAGUGAAGAAGGGUUUCGGCUCGUAAAGCUCUGUUGUUGGUGAAGAAGGACAGGGGUAGUAACUGACCUUUGUUUGACGGUAAUCAAUUAGAAAGUCACGGCUAACUACGUGCCAGCAGCCGCGGUAAUACGUAGGUGGCAAGCGUUGUCCGGAUUUAUUGGGCGUAAAGCGAGUGCAGGCGGCUCGAUAAGUCUGAUGUGAAAGCCUUCGGCUCAACCGGAGAAUUGCAUCAGAAACUGUCGAGCUUGAGUACAGAAGAGGAGAGUGGAACUCCAUGUGUAGCGGUGAAAUGCGUAGAUAUAUGGAAGAACACCGGUGGCGAAGGCGGCUCUCUGGUCUGUUACUGACGCUGAGGCUCGAAANNNUGGGUAGCGAGCAGGAUUAGAUACCCUGGUAGUCCAUGCCGUANACGAUGAGNNNUAAGUGUUGGGAGGUUUCCGCCUCUCAGUGCUGCAGCUAA